RNAcentral lists this ribosomal RNA (322 nucleotides) under uncultured eukaryote. Its description in RNAcentral is "partial 18S ribosomal RNA". It matches the Rfam family "Eukaryotic small subunit ribosomal RNA", at positions 1470 to 1796 of the family's 1831-position model. The record is from RNAcentral.
CCCUUAGAUGUUCUGGGCCGCACGCGUGCUACACUGAGUGGAUCAGCGGGUCAGGUUGCGCGAAAGUGUUUCCUAAUCUUGAAAUCCGCUCGUGAUGGGGAUUGACGGUUGCAAUUUUCCGUCAUGAACGAGGAAUACCUUGUAAGCGCGGGUCAUCAUCCCGCGCCGAAUACGUCCCUGCCCUUUGUACACACCGCCCGUCGCUCCUACCGAUUGAGUGGUCCGGUGAGGCUUUGGGAUCUGAGCAAAGAGAGCGUUUCGCUCGUUUUGCCCGGAAAACUCAGUCGAACCUUAUCAUUUAGAGGAAGGAGAAGUCGUAACA